This 253-nucleotide ribosomal RNA is filed under the name uncultured bacterium. Its description in RNAcentral is "partial 16S ribosomal RNA". It matches the Rfam family "Bacterial small subunit ribosomal RNA", at positions 524 to 776 of the family's 1533-position model. The record is from RNAcentral.
UACGUAGGGUGCGAGCGUUAAUCGGAAUUACUGGGCGUAAAGUGUGCGCAGGCGGCAGAGCAAGUCGAGUGUGAAAGCCCCGGGCUUAACUUGGGAAUUGCGCUCGAAACUACUUUGCUGGAGUGUGGCAGAGGAAGGUGGAAUUCCACGUGUAGCGGUGAAAUGCGUAGAGAUGUGAAGGAACACCAAUGGCGAAGGCAGCCUUCUGGGCCAACACUGACGCUCAUGCACGAAAGCGUGGGGAGCAAACAGG